CAAAGCAUAGCUUAACCUAAAGCAUCUGGCUUACACCCAGAAGAUCUCAAACCCAUUGAAUGCUUUGA
RNAcentral lists this transfer RNA (68 nucleotides) under Thrichomys apereoides (common punare). Its description in RNAcentral is "tRNA-Val". It matches the Rfam family "tRNA". Rfam says of the family: Transfer RNA (tRNA) molecules are approximately 80 nucleotides in length. Their secondary structure includes four short double-helical elements and three loops (D, anti-codon, and T loops). Lineage: Eukaryota; Metazoa; Chordata; Mammalia; Rodentia; Echimyidae. The record is from RNAcentral.